Long non-coding RNA from Alosa sapidissima (American shad), 106 nucleotides. RefSeq lists it as uncharacterized. The transcript has 3 exons. Lineage: Eukaryota; Metazoa; Chordata; Actinopteri; Clupeiformes; Clupeidae. The record is from RefSeq and is a predicted model, not a curated record.
UAACGUUAAUGUUUCAUUGUGAAACUGUACUACAAAAAAUUCGGGCAUUUGUACAGUCUAUGUACGUUGUACUGUCUAACUUACAUGCUUAUCCUUGCUAAGUCAU